GUGGCAUUAGUGUAGUGGCUUCGCACUGCAACCUGUGGAGUUGCCGGGAGGAGUUCGAAUCUCCUAUGCCACC
This 73-nucleotide transfer RNA is filed under the name Candidatus Tayloriibacteriota bacterium. RNAcentral's name for it is "tRNA-His". It matches the Rfam family "tRNA". From Rfam's summary of the family: Transfer RNA (tRNA) molecules are approximately 80 nucleotides in length. Lineage: Bacteria; Candidatus Tayloriibacteriota. The record is from RNAcentral.